This 511-nucleotide ribosomal RNA is filed under the name uncultured bacterium. RNAcentral's name for it is "bacterial SSU rRNA". It matches the Rfam family "Bacterial small subunit ribosomal RNA", at positions 8 to 518 of the family's 1533-position model. The record is from RNAcentral.
AGAAUUGAUCUGGUUCAGGACGAACGCUGGCGGCGUGCCUAACACAUGCAAGUCGAACGAAGCAUUUCCGUUGAGAUUCGUCAAGAACGGGACUUGACUUAGUGGCGGACGGGUGAGUAAUGCGUGAGCAACCUGCCCUUCAGAGGGGGACAACAGUUGGAAACGACUGCUAAUACCGCAUGAUGUAACCGGGAGGCAUCUCCUGGUUACCAAAGAUUUUAUCGCUGAAGGAUGGGCUCACGUCUGAUUAGUUAGUUGGUGGGGUAACGGCCUACCAAGACAGCGAUCAGUAGCCGGACUGAGAGGUUGAACGGCCACAUUGGGACUGAGAUACGGCCCAGACUCCUACGGGAGGCAGCAGUGGGGAAUAUUGGGCAAUGGGCGCCAAGCCUGACCCAGCAACGCCGCGUGAAGGAAGAAGGCCUUCGGGUUGUAAACUUCUUUUAUGAGGGACGAAGGACGUGACGGUACCUCAUGAAUAAGCCACGGCUAACUACGUGCCAGCCGCCGC